UUUUUACUAUUAUUAUUAUUUAAAAUUGUCCAAGCUGCUCUGCAACCGUCGGACAACAGUAUAAUUCUGUAAGCCUGGAACCUGUACAGACUGCAUGGUACAGGUUUGGUGAAGAAGUUCGACCAGUACUUGGGAGAAAUGUUUCCCGAACCUGGUUAGAAGACGACAUUGUGGUUCACCUUCAACUUGAGUUUGCGGAGGUUACUGAUGAGGACUCUGGAGAAUACACCUGCAAGAUGGAGAAUCAGUAUGGUUUUAUUGAAAAAACUGUUACUUUGAAAAUUAUAAAUGGAACAAAGGAAAUGUACAAAACCCAGGUGGCAAGACAGGAGUUUGUGUCUCUAAUUCAACAACAGUUUAAGAUAUAUUCAAGUAUUACUAGG
This 383-nucleotide long non-coding RNA is filed under the name Eurytemora carolleeae. RNAcentral's name for it is "uncharacterized LOC111703947". Lineage: Eukaryota; Metazoa; Arthropoda; Copepoda; Calanoida; Temoridae. The record is from RNAcentral.